This 471-nucleotide ribosomal RNA is filed under the name uncultured organism. RNAcentral's name for it is "partial 16S ribosomal RNA". It matches the Rfam family "Bacterial small subunit ribosomal RNA", at positions 334 to 797 of the family's 1533-position model. The record is from RNAcentral.
CACUCCUACGGGAGGCAGCAGUGGGGAAUAUUGCACAAUGGGCGCAAGCCUGAUGCAGCCAUGCCGCGUGUAUGAAGAAGGCCUUCGGGUUGUAAAGUACUUUCAGCGGGGAGGAAGGCAAUACGGUUAAUAACCGUGUUGAUUGACGUUACCCGCAGAAGAAGCACCGGCUAACUCCGUGCCAGCAGCCGCGGUAAUACGGAGGGUGCAAGCGUUAAUCGGAAUUACUGGGCGUAAAGCGCACGCAGGCGGUCUGUCAAGUCGGAUGUGAAAUCCCCGGGCUCAACCUGGGAACUGCAUUCGAAACUGGCAGGCUUGAGUCUUGUAGAGGGGGGUAGAAUUCCAGGUGUAGCGGUGAAAUGCGUAGAGAUCUGGAGGAAUACCGGUGGCGAAGGCGGCCCCCUGGACAAAGACUGACGCUCAGGUGCGAAAGCGUGGGGAGCAAACAGGAUUAGAUACCCGAGUAGUCCC